UACGUAGGGUGCGAGCGUUGUCCGGAAUUACUGGGCGUAAAGAGCUCGUAGGCGGUGUGUCGCGUCGGCCGUGAAAACCUGCAGCUUAACUGUGGGCUUGCGGUCGAUACGGGCAUCACUGGAGUUCGGCAGGGGAGACUGGAAUUCCUGGUGUAGCGGUGAAAUGCGCAGAUAUCAGGAGGAACACCGAUGGCGAAGGCAGGUCUCUGGGCAUUAACUGACGCUGAGGAGCGAAAGCAUGGGGAGCGAACAGG
This 254-nucleotide ribosomal RNA is filed under the name uncultured bacterium. RNAcentral's name for it is "partial 16S ribosomal RNA". It matches the Rfam family "Bacterial small subunit ribosomal RNA", at positions 524 to 776 of the family's 1533-position model. The record is from RNAcentral.